Molecule: long non-coding RNA, 2383 nt
Organism: Aegilops tauschii subsp. strangulata
Lineage: Eukaryota; Viridiplantae; Streptophyta; Magnoliopsida; Poales; Poaceae
Source: RefSeq, a predicted model, not a curated record
CGCCACGCCACAUGUCCCCCGCGUGGCCUGUUAGAGAUAUAAUAUUUGAGAGUUAGAAAUAAAUAUAUAUAUUAGAGAUAAAAAUAGGUUUAAACAAUUUGCCUUGUACUCCAAGCCAAUCCGUCUCUCGUAUACUCUAUAUAAUCCCUCAUGAGGGUCAACACAAUAGAACACAGUUUUGCAAAAAGAAAACACAAUAGAACAAAAAUAUUCAACCAUCCUAUUUAGAUACAUUAUAACUGAGCAUUUUUCCUGCCUCUCAGGCCAUUAGCGUUUUCAACCGUCAGAUCAUCCGUUUGAUGCAUUUUUUGCUAUUGGAUUUCCUCUUAAUCCCGCUUUGGCUGGCUACGUUCGCUACAAUUGAGAGGUUUCCUUGCUGGGCCGCUAUUCUGGUGACAAUUUUGGGUGUCUGGUAUAAAAUUGGGCCUAAUGGGCUUGUACGAGUUUCCGCUUGUGCAUCCUUGAAAAAAAAUACACCACCGUCCUUUCUUCUCCAUCGUGUGGCGGCUGACGAGACCUAGGUGACGCCGCCGCCACCAUGUUCUCCGUCUCGCAGCUCCUCUCGCCGUCGUCUUUCCGCGCUAGAUUCAUUUCGGUACCGAUCUAACUCCACUGCGAAUCUUCGAUUCUCCUGCGACCCUUGACUGCAUCUUCUUCAACCUCGACUCCCUGCUGCAACCCUCCCAGCGACGUCGUCUCGCCGCCCUCGGCCUCACCAUCAUCUGAUGCAGGGGAGUGAUACCGCCACCUCCAUCUCCCCUUUCCUUGCCUCUAAACCAAACUGAGAAGAAACUCUUCUCUUCCCCUCUCGCAGGGCAUCCUCUCUUACCCUCCCGUGGCUCCUCGUCCUUCUCCCAUGGCCACCAAAUUCUGCAAGGAUUUUUUAUUCAUCUUGUUCUUUGUCACCAGAUCGCCAGCAAGGUCAUAGUCCGUGAUUUGUUCGUCUCGCCCUAGAGAUGGUGGAGGUGGAGGAGAAGUAGUCUGAGCGAGGGCUCAAGGAGGUGGAGGAAGAGAUGGUGGCUGGCACCGCUCCUUCGGCCAUGAAAAUGUGGGCACUCCGGUUCAUGCAUAUCGACUCACUCGUGGGGUCGGUGAGUCACUAUUGCCCAAGAUCAAGCGGUGGAUUGUGCUCACGAGCAAAAGCAGUCACAUCAUCAUCUUCAGGGCUAAGAUCGACGUGCUCCUGCCCUUUAGGCCCUUUGCCAUCACGCUCUACUACCUCUCCAGAAACCACAAUAAUCACACUUAUAAAUUAAUUUUCAGUAUUGAUCAGAAUUGUACAGUAUUACUUGCCCUUUUAUGUUUAAUUAUUUUUCCUAUUUAGUGUUACUUUUGAAUCUUUCAUAGCACAAGCAUCCGUUUCUUAUGCAUUCUAUGUCACGUUUAGUCGCAGGAGCAAGACUGACAUGUAGUGCCUUCUAUAUCCUCAAUUUUCAAUCUUCAAAUGCUUCAUAUUAAGCACAUGUACUCAAACAUGUAAUUAUGUUUUUCCAGCAAUUGUGCUUUAUGCUAACAUAAUUUGAAAUAAAUCCCUGUGUUCUAGGAGGACAAAUUCGAGCUCCAUAUUACUUGGUCUGCUGCUUCUUCUGGGUUGUUUUCUACCUUCCAGUAGAUUCUAUGAAGCUCCAAUGGCUAACAAACAGAUUAGUGCUCGUGCACUAUUAUGCCUCAAGUUAAUUAUCUUGCGACGCAAUUUCAUAUUUUAUGGUCUGAUUGCUCUAGGUGGAACUGACCGCUCUACUGCAGUGUGAUUGCUCUAGAUGGAACUGACUGCUCUAUUGCGCGACAUUGCUAGGUCGCCAGUCCGUUCUUGAUUUCGAUUACGGCCAUGAUAUUGUGAUAUUACCCAUGAACUGGAGAAUGGAGUGAAAACAAUUGGUCUACUGAUGAACUUGACAGUUCGUAUUUUGUAUGGCAAAUGCAUCGAAUUUCAGUGUCAGAGUCUGCCUUUUGGUAUGUCCUUGUGGCAAAAAAAUACUUCUGUAAAGUUGUAGUCACAACUAUAAUUAUCCGAGGAAGUGUUCUAAAAGGAGAUGUCUUGCACUACUGCUGCUUGGUACCAGACGUGAACAACUACAUUAGGAGUUCGCUGCAUGGUUGGAGGAAGGUAGUUAAUGUCACUAGAGAUAAUAAACCAUUUGGAUUCCAAUACCAUACCAUGUUGAUCUACACUUGGUGUGCUUUCUCUCCUAUUUAUGCUUUGGUUUCAGUGGUUCUAAGGCUGGCACAUAAUAAUUGAGAAAAGUAGCACAGUGUUUUUUUGGCUAUUUGCUAUCAAUGGCAUGUUGCAGUUUACCAUGGACCAUGCUAAACGUGCAUCUAUCCAAGGAAUACUGUACCUUAUGGGAUUUCUCAUAUAUUUGUAUAUUUAUUGUAUUUUAUU